CAUCACCCAGCUCCCAGCAGCGCUGCUCUCUCGUCUUCUCCGCCCCGCCCCCAGUUCCUUCCACCGCCUACGCGUUGGUGCUCCAGCCAAAGACAGCCACCCCAGCCGCCGUCUGCUCCGGCCUGGGCCAGGAGAGGACGCUGAGGCUGGCGAGGGACGGGGGUCGGGCCGGUGUGCAAGGUAGCUAGGAGGCAAAGUAGGACUUGGUCGCGCCGAGAACGAGCCUCGUGGCUCCCCCCGCCCCUCUCUAUAAACCGCGGGUCCCCUCUCUACACAAAUCGCGGGUCCGUGGAGUGAAUAGCCGGUGGCUGUGGUGUCCAUCCCCUUUCUUCCUCUGCUCUGACGAGCUGCCUUGCUUGGAUCCGUCGAGUGAGGCACCGGUGGCGGCGGUGUCCGACGUGCUCCCGGUCGGUGCCCCUUUCGUCCUCUGCUCUGAGGCCGGGUCCGGGCUUGCCUCUGUUCUUUUGCCAUCCCACAGUCGAUCGCUGCCUCUGCUCCAGCCAUGACAUGACCUGAGUUCCUUCUAUUCUUCUUCUUUGUUUAUUUCCUUUGAUUCUUGAGAAACACUCGCUGGAAUAUCUCACGCAGACGGGCUAAGGCCCAAGUGGCAACGCAUCAGCCACGAACGAUCGCAAGGCAAGGCCCGAGCAAGAGCGUAGACGGAAAAUAUAUAGAUUACUGCAUGUACGGACGCAUAUAGAUAGUACCACCUUGGAUAUUAAGAAAAAUAUCAAAUCAAGAAAAAACGGACAGGAAGAAGCGUAUUAUGACAUGGGAAGAAAGCGCAUUGUGACGGUGAACCCGGAGACUCAAUCGGUGCUUUAUUAUUAGAGAGAGAUUAGCAAGCAUGGUGGAAAUUUCAGCUUC
Molecule: non-coding RNA, 867 nt
Organism: Triticum urartu
Lineage: Eukaryota; Viridiplantae; Streptophyta; Magnoliopsida; Poales; Poaceae
Source: RefSeq, a predicted model, not a curated record